Molecule: long non-coding RNA, 558 nt
Filed under: Gossypium raimondii (Peruvian cotton)
Lineage: Eukaryota; Viridiplantae; Streptophyta; Magnoliopsida; Malvales; Malvaceae
Description: long non-coding RNA (GRAI_LNC002180)
Source: RNAcentral
UUUUUCCUUUUUGCUUAACUAUUUUAAAAUGCCUAAAUUUGUAUGUGGAUAUCCAUGGGUUCUAUCAUUGCUCUUUGUUUAACUUCAAUAAGGAAGGUAGAUUCAUUCGUAACUUAGAUGAUGCUCCCUUGCACCCAUUGAAAUACAAAACUUUAAGAUUUUUAAGUUGAAAAAUGCAAUAUGGUGGUCUUCUCCUGCCUAUUUCACUUAAGUCAAGCUCUUCCAAAAACUCUAGUUGCUGAAAACAAUAAUAAAUUAGAUUUUAUUAUAUUUCCCUUCCAAAGUUGUUCAAAAACUAUUAGUGUCUUGAUUAGAUUUUCGGAGCCUUUGAGGUUGAACACUUUUAACUUAUACAGGGGCUGCUGAAAAUAAUAAUAAAUUAGGUAGAAAAGAGAAAAAUUCAGUAAACUCAUUUUUGUUGCUCUUUUUUCAUGUUAAUAAAAUUUUAAUCUUUCAUCUUAAAAUAAGCUAAAAGACAGGGAUAAGAUGAAUUAGUUCUUACUAUAUUUCCCUUCCAAAGUUUUUCAAUGCGACUAUAUGGCAAGAUAUGUACUGCAA